UGCGGAACUACCUGUUUGUUUAGUUAUUAUUUAUUUAUUUUAUGGUUAUUUUAGCACUAAAAUUGUUGUGUACACGUCAGCUCUUUAAAAAGCCCGAAAACUCAGGACACUGACCCAAGAAAAGUCAAGAGUUUAAUGCGAUAUCGUCAUGCGCCCAGAUCCCAGCAAUUACCCUGCUUCCCUUCUGCGUUUGCUCUGAGCGGUGCUUUGAUGUCACGGUGCCGGCCCAGCACAGCUGUCUAGACCAGUAUCAAAGGAGUGAUUCAAGGACGAGAGAUAAGAAGACAAACAGAGGAAGAGAGCGAAUCCCUCCAGGUGCCAGUGGCAACAGGUGGAAGAGGACAACCCGUGGAGUGCCAGUACGGGUCCUUGACUGAUGUGGACGACGCCAAUAGAGACGAACCUGCCUCAUAUUUCCCCAGCAUGGCAUCUGUCCAAGGGAUUUGGCAAGCUCGUCCUUUUGUGUGGAUGGGUUUUCCGGACAGACAUCCAGGGCUGGUGAUUUUCCACAUGGCGGCAGGAAGCAUAGUAUGGUGUGCUCUGUCAGCUGGAGAUUUACAGGCAAGUAGCAGAGUCCCCACAGUAGUGCCUGCAUUUUACGUGGUACAGGACAUUUCUUUCUAUAUCCAUUUAGCAGCGGUGGUUUUUGUCAGUCCGUGAGCAAUAUAUAUAAAAAAAAUGUACUACUGUGAAAUGCUAUGACAAAGAGCAAUUGGUUUAUUUUACUACUAAA
Molecule: long non-coding RNA, 733 nt
Organism: Mugil cephalus (flathead mullet)
Lineage: Eukaryota; Metazoa; Chordata; Actinopteri; Mugiliformes; Mugilidae
Exons: 6
Source: RefSeq, a predicted model, not a curated record